RNAcentral lists this long non-coding RNA (994 nucleotides) under Marmota monax (woodchuck). Lineage: Eukaryota; Metazoa; Chordata; Mammalia; Rodentia; Sciuridae. The record is from RNAcentral.
CUUUAUAAAAAUAAAGUAUGAAAAUAAACUGAUGAAUAAUUUUUCACCUUUGAUAAUAAAUAUUUCCUAAGAUUGAAAAUUUUAAAUUUGGGUAGGUAGAAGCCUGGGCGGGAGGGUCAGUAAAAAACUGGAGAAAUCACCCAGAAUCUGACUGGCAUGAUUUGUUUAUUUAACUGGCCUGUUUUUUGUUUAUGUUUCCUUGGUUUGAUUUGAACAAAAGAUUUCAGGUUGAUAGCUCUGUCUACAGUAAGAAAUACUAAGUCCUACACUGUGCCAGGCACUUGAAAAAUUGAUAUAAUAUGGUAACCAAAUAGAUAAGAUCUUUGCCUCCUAGAAUUUAUAGAAUAGUUCUUUAAGGAUGUUCUUUCAUAUUUAAAAGUUUAGUAAACAAAAUUUUAAAUAUCAAAGCAAAUGGCUCUUUUAUUUCACAGUAACCACUCUUGAUAGAUUGCUAACCUUCCAGACCACUUUUAUAAACACAUUUUUUAUAAAUACAUUUAGCUUACCAAAAUGGAAUCUUUCAUAAGAAGAUAUUUCUGAAGCUUCCCAUCUUAUUACAUAUAGAUCUAUCCUAUUGUUUUUAAGCCUACGUAUUAUUAACCUCUAUGAAUAUAACAGAACCUAUUUGCUACUUAUUGAUAACCAUUAAAUUGGAUUUAUACAUGGUGCUGCAAUGAGCAUGUUUUACUUCUAAGCAUUUAGCUCCAUCAGUAUGUGUUUUUAAGUACAUGAAACAAUUUUUUUCUCACAAAGAACUAUGAGGAGUCUAAUUUUGGCAUGAAUUACAAAAACUAAUUCUACACAUGGAGACUUUGGGGCCAAGGUUACACAGUAAAAUGUCAUUACCUGUCUGUUGUCUAUACUUGGAGAGGAAUCCCAUAUGAACACUGAAUAGGGUGCAGAUGAGUUCCCUCCCCUAGCAGCAGCAUUUCUUCUUCUUUGUUUCCCCCAGGCAGGUAGUAUCAACCACUCUACUCCAUAUUGGAUUUACAAG